AGAGUUUGAUCCUGGCUCAGGAUGAACGCUGGCGGUAUGCUUAACACGUGCAAGUCGGACGGGAAGUGGUGUUUCCAGUGGCAGACGGGUGAGUAACGCGUAAGAACCUGCCCUUGGGAGGGGAACAAUAGCUGGAAAUGACUGCUAAUACCCCAUAGGCUGAGGAGAAAAAGGGGGAAUCUGCCCAAGGAGGGGCUCGCGUCUGAUUAGUUAGUUGGUGAGGCAAUGGCUUACCAAGGCGACGAUCAGUAGCUGGUCUGAGAGGAUGGUCAACCACGCUGGGACUGAGACAUGGCCCAGACUCCUACGGGAGGAAGCAGUGGGGAAUUUUCUGCAAUGGACGACAGCCUGAUGGAGCAAUGCCGCGUGAAGGCAAAAGGCCCACGAGUCAUGAACUUCUUUUCUCGGAGAAGAAAAAUGACGGUCUCUGAGGAAUAAGCAUCAGCUAAAUCUGUGCCAGCAGCCGCGGUAAU
This 473-nucleotide ribosomal RNA is filed under the name uncultured bacterium. RNAcentral describes it as "bacterial SSU rRNA". It matches the Rfam family "Bacterial small subunit ribosomal RNA", at positions 8 to 524 of the family's 1533-position model. The record is from RNAcentral.